GAUGAACGCUAGCUACAGGCUUAACACAUGCAAGUCGAGGGGAAACGAUGAGAGAGCUUGCUCUCUUAGGCGUCGACCGGCGCACGGGUGAGUAACGCGUAUCCAACCUACCCAUUACAGGGGGAUAACCUUGCGAAAGUAAGACUAAUACCCCAUGGCAUUUUAUGGUGGCAUCAUUAUAGGAUUAAAGAUUUAUUGGUAAUGGAUGGGGAUGCGUCUGAUUAGCUUGUUGGCGGGGUAACGGCCCACCAAGGCAACGAUCAGUAGGGGUUCUGAGAGGAAGGUCCCCCACAUUGGAACUGAGACACGGUCCAAACUCCUACGGGAGGCAGCAGUGAGGAAUAUUGGUCAAUGGGCGAGAGCUUGAACCAGCCAAGUAGCGUGCAGGAUGACGGCCCUAUGGGUUGUAAACUGCUUUUAUAGGGGAAUAAAGUGAGCUACGUGUAGUUUAUUGCAUGUACCCUAUGAAUAAGAACCGGCUAAUUCCGUG
RNAcentral lists this ribosomal RNA (490 nucleotides) under uncultured bacterium. RNAcentral's name for it is "partial 16S ribosomal RNA". It matches the Rfam family "Bacterial small subunit ribosomal RNA", at positions 28 to 507 of the family's 1533-position model. The record is from RNAcentral.